GGGAAGGCGGCUGUAGAAGUGUCAAGUUGUAGCCUUGGUUAUGGAGUUAGGUCUCUUCUUCCUA
RNAcentral lists this transfer RNA (64 nucleotides) under Bactronophorus thoracites. Its description in RNAcentral is "tRNA-Tyr". Lineage: Eukaryota; Metazoa; Mollusca; Bivalvia; Myida; Teredinidae. The record is from RNAcentral.